UAAGCACCACACCCUUUAGCUUUUGGUAACUCCUCCUUCAGCCGGCUUCUAACAAAAGCCAUGGCUUUUUCCACCGAAAAGCAGAAGCCUGGAGGACCCCUCCUUUUGGAAGCCAGAAGUCACUUGCUGCAACUGUAGCGCUCUUCACUGUAGAUUAAUGACUCUUGAUAAUACCAGCGGUUGCCCUCUCUUUCUUGAACAAUUUACGCACAGCCAUGGAACCCUUCCACGCACAGACGAUUGGAGACACUUCAAUUUUCGUCACGCACAGACGGAACAAUUCUUCUAUUUGUCUUCUCCCUUAAAUUCAGAGGUAACCAGAGCGGAGACGCUUCAAUUUUCUCCUCGCACAAACGUUCCAAUUCUUCUCAUUGUCUUCUCGCUUCAAUUCGGAGGUAACCAUCUAUCUCUGUCUUCAAAUUCAAAAUUUGGCGUAAAUCAUAGCAUAGAUUAAACUGCUGAAUCGGAAAAAAAUAGGGAUUUCGUGAUUAUAUAAGGAUCGAUAUCAAAGCAAUUGAUAAAUUGGAAUGUUUCUGAUGUCCUGUUUGAUUCCCAAUUCAAUUUCAAUUUUUAUCUGUUUACCAUAAUUGUUAAGUGUGGCACCUCUUAUCAACUUAACCAGCUAGACGGAUUUGAUCAGCUUGGCAAGGUACGUAUUUUUGAUUUAGUUCAAACCAAGCUAGUUUGUGUGUCAUGCUGUCAUAUGUUGGCAUGUUUUGACGAUGAAAUUUUGGUGGGUGUUUUGAUUAUAAUAAUAUUGGGGGAUAUCUCAAACUGAUGGAGAUAUCUCUUGAGGGUAAGCAUGUUGAAAUGGCAAAUCAGAGAAAUAAGGGAACUAUUGGUUUGGUGGGUAUCUACAUGAUUACCACGUUUUUCAUCUUGUACUACCUAUUGUGGGCUAUGCAUAUAGCUAGCCAUGUUGCAAACUUUGAUUUUUCAUUGUAUAUAUACUGCAUUCUCAUAUGCAGAUUGCAUUGGUCAAGAUUCAAUGUUUGUCUGAUAGUUGUGUUGUAAGAAUCCCUGUAUGAGGGAUCAAGUAGUACAUUGUAGAUCAAUUAAACUACCAUCAACUUUUCUUAUGAACAAUAUCAAUUUCUGACUACAAACUGUGCAAAUGAGUCCGUUGAUGCUCAGAAAGUGUUUGUUAUAGUUGGUUCCAUGUAUCUAAGCUCUGCACUUGAGAAGAUGAGUGAUGCUCUCCGCAAUAGUAGACAUUUAAGUUAUAUACUGUUCCAAUUACCUUUGACAGGGUGAGUGUUAAUGCCAACGAUGCACAACAUGGAAGCAAAUUGCUCACUAUCCCAGUGUUAGUUGAUAGAGAAACAAAAGUCAGACCUGUACUACCUGGAAGGGAGGGCUCUGAUUCUAACGGUUUACCGAACGAGACCAAACUAGUUGGGGAUCCACAGGUGUGUGACAAAGAAGUAAUAGAAAGGCAACCUGUAGUAGGAAGUGAGCAGAGAAAAAAUCUUAAAGAUCUCAGGUGAGGCCUCACGGUUUUAGCUUUCUUUAUGACAAUUAGUGUUGGAUGUCAGUUUGGUUUGACAUAGAGACCUUUAAAGGUGGCAGAGAGAGCUCUGUUUUUAUGGAACAACGAUCACAUUGAGAACUUGAUCAAACAAAAUCGUAAUACUGCCCAUUAUGUUAGAGAAGGCAAUGUCCAAAGAUUUAGUUUAAGGUGAUAUGUUGGAUUGAUGUAAAAUAGCCUUGUUGAGGCAUGAUUGAUAUGUUUAUAUAGACCUGGGCUUUGAUGCCUUGCUGGAACUAUUUAGUUGCUGAUAUUCAUUCUUGUAGCAUCAUAUGAAGCUAGCAAAGUAUAAACAGAAUUACAUGUAUACAUUGUCAUCUUCUGUAGAUGUGUCUUAAUUUCUAGCAAUAUUAGUGGCAACUCCUUAUAAUGUUUAUUAAUUUGAUUCCAUGUUAAA
Rosa rugosa (rugosa rose) is the source of this 1925-nucleotide long non-coding RNA. RefSeq lists it as uncharacterized. The record is from RefSeq and is a predicted model, not a curated record. Lineage: Eukaryota; Viridiplantae; Streptophyta; Magnoliopsida; Rosales; Rosaceae. The transcript is spliced from 4 exons.